Molecule: ribosomal RNA, 274 nt
Filed under: uncultured bacterium
Lineage: Bacteria
Description: partial 16S ribosomal RNA
Rfam family: Bacterial small subunit ribosomal RNA
Source: RNAcentral
AUACGGAGGGUGCAAGCGUUACUCGGAAUCACUGGGCGUAAAGGACGCGUAGGCGGGUUGGUAAGUCAGGUGUGAAAUCCUACAGCUUAACUGUAGAACUGCACUUGAAACUACCAACCUAGAGUAUGGGAGGGGGAGAUGGAAUUAGUGGUGUAGGGGUAAAAUCCGUAGAUAUCACUAGGAAUACCGAAAGCGAAGGCGAUCCCCUGGAACAUAACUGACGCUAAGGCGUGAAAGCGUGGGGAGCAAACAGGAUUAGAAACCCGGGUAGUCC